This 498-nucleotide ribosomal RNA is filed under the name uncultured bacterium. Its description in RNAcentral is "partial 16S ribosomal RNA". It matches the Rfam family "Bacterial small subunit ribosomal RNA", at positions 30 to 523 of the family's 1533-position model. The record is from RNAcentral.
AUUGAACGCUGGCGGCAUGCCUUACACAUGCAAGUCGAACGGUAACAGGUCUUCGGAUGCUGACGAGUGGCGAACGGGUGAGUAAUACAUCGGAGCGUGCCUAGUAGUGGGGGAUAACUACUCGAAAGAGUGGCUAAUACCGCAUGAGAUCUACGGAUGAAAGCAGGGGAUCGCAAGACCUUGUGCUACUAGAGCGGCCGAUGGCAGAUUAGGUAGUUGGUGGGAUAAAUGCUUACCAAGCCGACGAUCUGUAGCUGGUCUGAGAGGACGGUCAGCCACACUGGGACUGAGACACGGCCCAGACUCCUACGGGAGGCAGCAGUGGGGAAUUUUGGACAAUGGGCGCAAGCCUGAUCCAGCAAUGCCGCGUGCAGGAUGAAGGCCUUCGGGUUGUAAACUGCUUUUGUACGGAACGAAAAGCCCUGGGUUAAUACCCUGGGGUCAUGACGGUACCGUAAGAAUAAGCACCGGCUAACUACGUGCCAGCCGCCGCCGUAA